UCCUGGGUGGCUGAGAGAGUAAAGAAUCUGCCUGCAAUGCAGGAGACCUGGGUUCCAUUCCUGGGUUGGGAA
RNAcentral lists this transfer RNA (72 nucleotides) under Ovis aries (sheep). It matches the Rfam family "tRNA". From Rfam's summary of the family: Transfer RNA (tRNA) molecules are approximately 80 nucleotides in length. The record is from Rfam by way of RNAcentral. Lineage: Eukaryota; Metazoa; Chordata; Mammalia; Artiodactyla; Bovidae.